Xyrichtys novacula (pearly razorfish) is the source of this 11067-nucleotide non-coding RNA. The record is from the annotation of a GenBank genome assembly. NCBI's taxonomy places the organism in Eukaryota, Metazoa, Chordata, Actinopteri, Labriformes, Labridae.
CUUUGAGAACUGACCGACAUCCCAGGUUAGUACUUUGUGUGUGCUUGUGCUUAUCCACCUUUGCUUUUAAAAUAGAUUUCAGUCACAUUAUUUCUGCCUUUGUGUUAUCUUGUAUUAUGAGUAUGAAUUAAUUCAGAUGUCACUCAGUUCUGAAGAAAAGUGCUUUUGCAAAUACUCCUGAUAAGUUAUUUGGAAUAGAUUCCAAAUUCUUUUUUUUUUUUUUCGUUUAUUUGAAGGAGGAAUAUAUUUUGGAACUACAAGGGAAGAAAUAACAGUUUUGUUCUCUGGAGUAAAGGAAUUAUGUGACUGGAUUGAUUAUAAAUGCAAUGCAAGGCAGGGUAGAGUUAUUUGUGCAGCAUCUUUAAAUCAAAAAGAAAUCUUGAGCUUGUUGUGGGUAUGUGCAUAGAUGAAUAAAUACACUGACUUAGGGAAAAACUGCAUUUUGACUGUUUAGUGCUCUUUGUGGGGCAACAAAAGUAUGUAUCCACUUCAUAAACUAUCUCAAUCUUUCUUUGACAGCAUCCAGGCAACAGAUCAGUGCCACUCAGUUUAGAUAAGCUGAGGUAAUGCUUGCCACAGUAAUAUAAUUCUUAGAAAUUGUAAGAAUUAUACUAAAAAUACAAUAAAUUUGAAGUCCUUCUCUCUCUUUUUCCUUUACAGUCCCCUAUAAAGUGCCACCAUGAGUUCAGACGCUGAAAUGGCCCAGUAUGGGCCUGCAUCCAUUUUUCUCCGCAAGCCUGAGAGGGAGAGGAUUGAGGCUCAGAACACUCCAUUUGAUGCUAAAACAGCUUUCUUUGUGGUCGAUGUUGAGGAGAUGUACCUCAAAGGCAAGCUUGUCAAGAAGGAGGGGGGCAAAGCCACAGUUGAGACACUUAUAGGACACAAGGUAGAGGAUUGACACUUAUUUUCAUGUUGUUAACAGUGAGUAACAUUCUUAAUGUAAGAUUUACUAUAUUUUUCCCAAGUAAAUUGAACUGUUUUUUUACUUUACUUUUCUUUAGAGUCUCACUGUAAAAGAGGAUGACAUCCAUCCCAUGAAUCCUCCAAAGUUUGACAAAAUUGAGGACAUGGCCAUGAUGACCCACCUCAAUGAGCCUUGUGUGCUGUAUAACCUCAAAGAGCGUUAUGCAUCAUGGAUGAUCUACGUAAGUUUUCUGAAUAAUCCACUCGAUGAAUCCAAGUAUUUACAUGAAUUUGACCAUAAUCAUAUGUUAACAUUAUGUUUGUACUCUACAGACCUACUCUGGCCUGUUCUGUGUCGUUGUGAAUCCCUACAAGUGGCUUCCAGUGUACGAUGCUCAGGUUGUUGGGGCAUACAGAGGAAAGAAGAGAGUUGAGGCUCCACCCCACAUCUUCUCCAUCUCUGACAAUGCCUAUCAGUUCAUGCUCACUGGUAAGACAAUCUAUUUUGAAAAGAGAGACAGCUGACGGCUGUAAUUGAACAUAGAACGGCAGUUCCUGACAUUUUCUGUUUUUGCUUUGUUAUUUUCAGAUCGUGAGAACCAGUCUAUUCUUAUCACGUGAGUGAGAUAAUGUUUACCCAACAACAUUUGAAGAAUGUUAAUAAGGUUGAAAUAUUGAACUAUUUCUCUUGCUUCCCCCAGUGGAGAAUCCGGUGCCGGAAAGACUGUAAACACCAAGCGUGUCAUCCAGUACUUCGCAACAAUUGCAGUCGCUGGGGCUAAGAAGGCCGAGACACCUGGCAAAAUGCAGGUAAAAACCAUCACCUUUGGUGAAAAACAAAAGAUAAUAAUUAUCAAAAAAAAAACAGCAACAUGCAUUUCAAAUUCUUCCUGCAGGGUUCGCUGGAGGAUCAAAUCAUUGCAGCCAACCCUCUGCUGGAGGCUUAUGGUAAUGCCAAGACUGUGAGGAAUGACAACUCCUCUCGUUUUGUAAGUCCUAAAAGUAGAAAUUCUAGCAUGAAGUAUGAAAUUUCUAUGUAUCCACAUUGAUACAUCACAACUGAAAAAAAUCUGAUCUGAUUUGUGCAGGGUAAAUUCAUCAGAAUUCACUUCGGGACCACAGGCAAACUUGCUUCAGCUGACAUUGAAACAUGUGAGUAAUUUCUCUGUUAAGUUCAGUCACCAAUCUUUAAAUAUAAACUUGUAUUAGAAAAGGAGUUUAAGAAACAUUUGCUGACACAUUGUGAUCAGGACUUAAUUUGUUGUUCUAAGAUCUGCUGGAGAAGUCCCGUGUAACCUUCCAGUUGUCUGCUGAGAGGAGCUACCAUAUCUUCUACCAGCUGAUGACAGGCCACAAGCCCGAGCUCCUGGGUAUGUGUAAUAGAUGGUAUCUGACAUACUUAAAAGAAUAUCACCGGAAAACUUCAUGUGCUGUGUUUCUUGAUUUUCAGAGGCCCUUCUGAUCACCACCAACCCCUAUGACUACCCAAUGAUCAGCCAGGGUGAAAUCACUGUCAAAAGCAUUGAUGAUAUUGAGGAGUUCGUUGCUACUGAUGUAAGACUACUAUCUAGUAAUAUAGAUGAUAUACAGAGGAAAAGGUUUUAGAUACCAAUCACUUUUCUUUCUACACAUUGCAGACUGCUAUUGAUAUUUUGGGCUUCACUGCUGAAGAGAAAAUUGGUAUCUACAAACUGACUGGGGCUUCGAUGCAUCAUGGCAACAUGAAAUUCAAGCAGAAGCAGCGCGAGGAGCAGGCUGAGCCUGAUGGCACUGAGGGUAAUUCCUACAAUAAUGCAUUGUGAUCAUGUAAGUAUCCUGAUACGUAGAGUUUGCUUACACAAGGUAAUGUGUAUUUGUGUUUUUGUUCAUUUCUCUAUCAGUGGCUGAUAAAAUCGCCUACCUCUUGGGUCUGAACUCAGCUGAUAUGCUGAAGGCUCUGUGCUACCCGAGAGUCAAGGUCGGAAAUGAGAUGGUGACCAAAGGUCAGACCGUCCCACAGGUAAUGAAAAAAUGAACUAAACAACAAAUAUACCAUUAUUCAUUCAAGGUUGUAUAUUCCUCUUAUUAAUUGUAUAUCUUUUCCUUAUUUCAAGGUCAACAAUUCUGUCAUGGCUCUGUGCAAGUCUAUCUAUGAGAAAAUGUUCUUGUGGAUGGUCAUCCGUAUCAAUGAGAUGCUGGACACAAAGCAGCCAAGACAGUACUUCAUUGGCGUCUUGGAUAUUGCUGGUUUUGAGAUCUUUGAUGUGAGUUGUUAAAAACUAUUGAAGUAGAUUUUAUUUUUCUUGAAUUUCGAUGGAUAUAAUAUAUAUUUUUUAAAAUACAGUUCAACAGCUUGGAGCAGCUCUGCAUCAACUUCACCAAUGAGAAACUGCAACAGUUCUUCAACCACCACAUGUUCGUCCUGGAACAAGAGGAGUACAAGAAAGAGGGUAUUGAAUGGGAGUUCAUUGACUUCGGUAUGGACUUGGCUGCCUGCAUUGAGCUUAUUGAGAAGGUAAGUAAAACUGUCUUGUAAAACUUUAGUUUGAUGGAACAGCUGUUCAGUGAUUAAUUCUUUUCAAUGUGACAAAUUGUUUUCCUAAGCCAAUGGGCAUCUUCUCCAUCCUUGAAGAGGAGUGCAUGUUCCCCAAGGCCUCUGACACAACUUUCAAGAACAAGCUGCAUGAUCAGCAUCUUGGCAAGACCAAGGCCUUUGAGAAACCAAAGCCUGGAAAGGGCAAAGCUGAGGCUCACUUCGCCCUGGUUCACUAUGCCGGCACAGUGGAAUACAAUAUUGUUGGCUGGCUGGACAAGAACAAGGACCCCCUGAACGACUCUGUUGUUCAGCUCUACCAGAAGUCUUCCAACAAACUGCUGGCCAUGCUUUAUGCAGCCCACGGUGGAGAAGGUAAGAUUGCAUAACUGUUGAAAAUAACAGUAAUCUAGUCAUUUAUAACAAAAAGAUUUUGGAUAUGGAUGAUAAGUACAAAAAAAGGUCGUUUAGUGGUAUUUUUGUAGUUUUCAUCCAAAACAGAAACCUCUAGUUAGAAUUCAAAAGAAAACUGAGUAAGGGAUGAUAGCUUCUUCCCAAACUUGCUUAACAUUAUCUUAUUCCAAGACAGGAACAUGGAUGCAUUCACCAGAAAAUCAGUAAACCAGUAAAAUCAUGUUAUCAUGUAAAAUCAUGUGAAUUCUUUCUUUUGCUCUCAAACAGAGGCUGCUGGUGCCAAAAAGGGUGGUAAGAAGAAGGGUGGCUCCUUCCAGACCGUGUCUGCUCUCUUCAGGGUAAUUACUGCUUCAUGUCAAAAGAAAACAAUAGUAAAAUGAAAAACCUCGUGUUGACAUAAAGUUCAUAUUUAUUUCUGUCAUACUGAUAACCAGGAGAACUUGGGCAAGCUGAUGACCAACCUGAGGAGCACUCACCCUCACUUUGUGCGCUGCUUGAUUCCCAAUGAAACUAAGACUCCAGGUAAGCCCAUAGUGCUGCCAUUCUAUUCUUUUUUGAGAAUGACACACACUAAAGCUGUGAUCUUUGAAUGAUAUGAAUUUAUAUCUUUUAGGUCUUAUGGAGAACCACCUGGUCAUCCACCAGCUGAGGUGUAACGGUGUGCUGGAGGGCAUCAGAAUUUGCAGAAAGGGCUUCCCCAGCAGAAUCCUCUAUGGUGACUUCAAGCAGAGGUAACUUUUCGGGGUAGAAUCAUGAGAUUGAGAAAUGGCAACGGUGCAAAGUUAAUAUAUUAAAAAUUAUGUUUUUCAAUCUUAUAGAUACAAAGUACUGAAUGCCAGUGUCAUCCCUGAGGGUCAGUUCAUUGACAAUAAAAAAGCUUCUGAGAAGCUGCUGGGCUCCAUCGAUGUGGACCACACUCAGUACAAGUUUGGACACACUAAGGUUCGUUUUCAUAGGCAACAAUAUUUCACUAGCUGUGGCAUAGUACAUGCUGUUGCUUAUAUCUUCACUAAUAACACAACACAGGUGUUCUUCAAAGCCGGUCUGCUGGGUACCCUGGAGGAGAUGAGAGAUGAGAAACUGGCUGAGCUGGUGACCAUGACUCAGGCUCUCAGCAGAGGAUAUGUCAUGAGGAAGGAGUUUGUGAAGAUGAUGGAGAGGAGGUAGGCUUUUUAGGGGCACACUUACUCUAACUGCCAAAUUAUUUGCAGGUAUUUUUCAACUGCAGUCAUGUUAAAGAAUUGGCACUUUUCCCUUUUUGCAGAGAAUCUAUCUACUCCAUCCAGUACAACAUCAGAUCCUUCAUGAAUGUGAAGAAUUGGCCAUGGUUGAAACUCUACUUCAAGAUCAAGCCUCUCCUGAAGAGUGCUGAGACUGAGAAAGAGCUGCAGCAGAUGAAGGAAAACUAUGACAAAAUGAAGUCAGACCUGGCUACUGCCCUGGCCAAGAAGAAGGAACUUGAGGAAAAGAUGGUUGCCAUGCUGCAGGAGAAGAAUGACCUGCAACUGCAAGUAGCAGCUGUGAGUGCAAAAACAGCCAUUGCACUUUUUUUAACAUAUAGAUUUAGUUAUUUAGUACAAUUUUAAAAUAUGUAUAUAAUUUUAAUUUCCUAAAAUUACUCAAGAAAAUUUACUUAAAAUUACAAAACCAAUGAUAAAAACAAAUUCUAUCUAAAAGUCAAAAUUAAAUGAAUAUAACAAUCUCAAAAUGUACUAUAGGAAGUUGAGAACCUCUCUGAUGCUGAGGAAAGGUGUGAGGGACUCAUCAAGAGCAAGAUCCAGCUCGAGGCCAAACUCAAAGAGACAAGUGAGAGACUGGAGGAUGAAGAGGAAAUCAAUGCUGAGCUGACUGCCAAGAAGAGGAAACUGGAGGAUGAAUGCUCUGAGCUCAAGAAAGACAUUGAUGACUUGGAGCUCACCUUGGCCAAAGUGGAGAAGGAGAAACACGCCACAGAAAACAAGGUUCACAUUAUUUAAGUACAUCCUGGUCAAAAAAUAUAAUCAUACCAUCAAUAAAAGGAAGGAAAUAGAAUGUUUUUAAAAAAUUUCUUCCUUGUUAAGGUGAAAAACCUGACAGAGGAGAUGGCGUCUCAGGAUGAGUCUCUUGCCAAGUUAACAAAGGAGAAGAAAGCCCUCCAAGAGAGCCACCAGCAAACUCUGGAUGAUCUCCAGGCAGAGGAGGACAAAGUCAACACUCUGACCAAAGCCAAGACCAAGCUGGAACAGCAAGUGGACGAUGUAAGACAGUAACUGCUUUUAUGGUUUGACCCAUUAUAACAUGAAUGACUCUUGGCAUUAUUAUCUCUCUUAAGAUAAACUUCAGUUAAUUUUCAUAAUUCUAACUUGAUAGCUUGAAGGAUCUCUGGAACAAGAGAAGAAGCUCCGCAUGGACCUUGAGAGGUCAAAGAGGAAGCUUGAGGGAGAUCUGAAACUGGCCCAGGAAUCCAUAAUGGAUCUGGAAAAUGACAAACAGCAAUCUGAUGAGAAAAUCAAGAAGUAAUUUUUUUGCAUUCUUUUUUUACUUUUAGUUUAGUUUUUACUUUUUCCAUGUUUUUCAGUGAUCUUGACUACUGUCAUCUUGGUGUAUAAUACUGAAAUAUUCUUGUUGUCUUGUACAGGAAGGAGUUUGAGACCAGCCAGCUCCUCAGCAAGAUUGAGGAUGAACAGCUUCUUGGUGCCCAGCUCCAGAAAAAGAUCAAGGAGCUCCAGGUACAUCUUUGAUUUACACAGUGGACCCAGGAUGAUAUAUACAAUACAUUACUUUCCAUUUUGUAAGCCUCUUUGAUAUAUUGUCAUCAACAACUAGGCUCGUAUUGAGGAGCUGGAGGAGGAGAUUGAGGCUGAGAGAGCUGCUCGGGCAAAGGUGGAGAAGCAGAGGGCUGAUCUCUCCAGGGAGCUUGAGGAGAUCAGCGAGAGGCUUGAGGAAGCUGGUGGAGCAACAGCUGCUCAGAUUGAGAUGAACAAGAAGCGUGAGGCUGAGUUCCAGAAGCUGCGUCGUGAUCUUGAAGAGUCCACCCUUCAGCAUGAAGCUACCGCUGCAGCUCUGCGCAAGAAGCAGGCUGACAGUGUUGCAGAGCUGGGAGAGCAGAUCGACAAUCUCCAGCGUGUCAAACAGAAGCUGGAGAAAGAGAAGAGCGAGUACAAGAUGGAGAUUGACGACCUCUCCAGCAACAUGGAGGCUGUUGCUAAAUCCAAGGUGUGGAUUUUGUUUGGGGCAAGGCUAUGUCUAUCAAAUACUAAGAACAGUACAUUCUGACUAAUAUACAGUAUAUAACAGUAACUUUGUAGGGAAAAAAAAGUAUAUUUUAAAUGCCUCAUGUUCUUGUUUGGUGCAGGGCAACUUGGAAAAAAUGUGCAGAACUCUUGAGGAUCAACACAGCGAACUGAAAUCCAAGUAUGAUGAGAAUGUCCGCCAGCUGAAUGACAUUAGUGCACAGAGGGCCAGACUGCAGACAGAGAAUGGUUCGUCACCAGAGCAUCAAUGAUGUAAAAAACUUUUAUGGUUUUAUAGUUUAACCAUGCCUUGUAUACAUUGCCCUUUAGGCGAGUAUUCACGCCAGCUUGAGGAGAAAGAAGCUGUUGUUUCUCAGCUGACAAGGGGCAAGCAAGCCUUUACCCAGCAGAUUGAGGAGCUCAAGAGGCACGUUGAGGAGGAAGUGAAGGUAUUAAAAAACCAAAAUCUUCAAAAAUACACCAGUUCAUGAAAGAAAUACAAUGGCUCAGAUGUGUUUUGUGAUAUAUAGAAAGCAAAUGGUAAUGGAUAAUUUAUUAAGAUCUCAUUAUCAUGACAGGCCAAGAACGCCCUGGCCCAUGCUGUUCAGUCAGCACGCCAUGACAGUGAUCUUCUCAGAGAGCAGUAUGAGGAGGAGCAGGAGGCCAAGGCCGAGCUGCAGAGGGGAAUGUCAAAGGCCAACAGUGAGGUAGCUCAGUGGAGAUCCAAAUAUGAGACUGAUGCUAUCCAGCGCACUGAGGAGCUGGAGGAGGCAAAGUACAUCAAGCAUUUUUGACUAUUUCCCAUUAAAACAGAGACUUUUAAUUUUUCUGUUAUUCCAUUAAGCACAAACAAAACCAUUUUCAUUUCAGGAAAAAGCUUGCCCAGCGUCUGCAGGAUGCUGAGGAAUCCAUUGAGGCUGUGAACUCCAAGUGUGCCUCACUGGAGAAGACCAAGCAGAGGCUGCAGGGUGAGGUGGAGGACCUCAUGAUUGAUGUAGAGAGAGCUAAUUCUCUGGCUGCCAACCUUGACAAGAAGCAGAGGAACUUUGAUAAGGUAAGCAAAUAUCAAGACAUUAUUCAUUGUAAAAAAAAAAAAACAAUGAAAAUCUUUUAAAAAACAGCUGUUAUUACUCAUCAAUAUAUUCCCAGGUUCUGGCAGAAUGGAAACAGAAGUAUGAGGAGGGCCAGGCAGAGCUUGAAGGAGCCCAGAAGGAGGCUCGCUCUCUCAGCACUGAACUGUUCAAGAUGAAGAACUCGUAUGAGGAGGCUCUGGAUCAGCUGGAGACCAUAAAGAGAGAGAACAAGAACCUCCAGCGUAAGUAAACUUUGAAGAUGUGUGAAUGAGAAACAGCGAGUAUAAAGCAGCUCAAAAAUGUUGUUAUGUUAUCUUCUGUAGAGGAGAUCUCUGACCUGACUGAACAGAUUGGAGACACAGGAAAGACCAUCCAUGAGCUGGAGAAAUCAAAGAAGACCACUGAGACAGAGAAGGCUGAAAUUCAGUCAGCACUGGAGGAAGCUGAGGUACACCAGGACUUUAGGAAUUAAAAAGGAUUCUUAGAAACAACACAUAUCAACACAUAACAACACAUACCAGUUGGUUGCAUAGAAAGGGCCAGUCUAACCUUUGUCAUUGCAGGGAUGGGUCUGAUUGAUCCAGCAUUUUUUGCAUAAUUCAGUGUAGGUUUUUUUAAGCAAAUACUGCACCCAAUUUGGUAAUCUAAUCAAUUGUCAUAUUCAAAUAAAGGGUACUCUGGAGCAUGAGGAGGCCAAGAUUCUUCGUGUUCAGCUUGAGCUCAACCAGGUCAAGAGUGAGAUUGACAGGAAGCUGUCAGAGAAGGAUGAGGAGAUGGAGCAGAUCAAGAGGAACAGCCAGAGGGUGAUCGACUCCAUGCAGAGCACUCUUGAUUCUGAGAUCAGGAGCAGGAAUGAUGCCCUGAGAGUCAAGAAGAAGAUGGAGGGUGACCUGAAUGAGAUGGAGAUUCAGCUGAGCCAUGCUAACAGGCAGGCUGCUGAGGCCCAGAAACAACUGAGGAAUGUCCAGGGACAACUCAAGGUGAGUUUUACAUCAUUUUAGGUGAAAAUUUUCAUGAGAAAUAGAAAAAAAAACUUGGCAUAUUUAUUCUUCUAAUGUUUUCAGGAUGCCCAACUUCAUCUUGAUGAUGCCAUCAGAGGACAGGAGGACAUGAAGGAGCAGGUUGCCAUGGUGGAGCGCAGAAAUGGUCUGAUGCUGGCUGAGAUUGAGGAGCUGAGAGUUGCUCUGGAGCAGACAGAGAGAGGACGCAAAGUGGCUGAGCAGGAGUUGGUUGAUGCCAGUGAGCGUGUUGGACUGCUACACACUCAGGUCUGUCAUAACUAUUAAAAAAAAAAAAAAAAACAUUUUUAUAUUGUGUAUUAUCCAUUUGUAUGGCCUUUUUAAAAAUGAAUUAUUCCCAAGAAUGAUAUCCCAUACAAGAGUACAACCACAUAAAUAUUGUCCAAUCUUUUAACACUUAGAACACCAGUCUUAUCAACACCAAGAAGAAGCUGGAGUCUGAUCUGGUCCAGGUUCAGGGUGAGGUGGAUGAUGCUGUUUCAGAGGCUAGAAAUGCUGAGGAGAAAGCCAAAAAGGCUAUAACUGAUGUGAGUUUAGGUUUUUAAUCCUAAUUCCACUACAACAUUUUUAACACACUGUCUAAACUAUAACCCUGUUAUUCUGACCUAUCAACAUCUCAGGCUGCCAUGAUGGCUGAGGAGCUGAAGAAGGAGCAGGACACUAGUGCUCACCUGGAGAGGAUGAAGAAGAACCUGGAGGUCACUGUCAAGGACCUGCAGCACCGUCUGGAUGAGGCUGAGAACCUCGCCAUGAAGGGUGGCAAGAAGCAGCUCCAGAAACUGGAGUCCAGGGUAUGCACCUUAGGAUAAAGUGUAUUUAAAAGAUUCCCUUAUAUCUUCAACAGACUUUUAUUACCUGCAUUAAAUCCCUUGUACUAAACUUGGGUUGUUUAUUAUCACAUUAGGUGCGUGAGCUGGAAACUGAAGUUGAAGGAGAGCAGAGACGUGGUGCUGAUGCUGUGAAGGGAGUCCGCAAAUAUGAGAGGAGAGUGAAGGAGCUGACCUACCAGGUAAUUUAAAAUUAAAAUAAAAUAAAAUAACACGAGUUGUAUAUAUUUGUACAAAUCAUUGCUCACAAUUUGUUUUUCCAUGUAGACUGAGGAAGACAAGAAGAAUGUGUUCAGACUUCAGGAUUUGGUGGACAAACUGCAGCUUAAAGUCAAAGCCUACAAGAGACAGGCUGAGGAGGCUGUAAGUACAACUACAAAAUAUGGCCUGUAAUUUUCAGCAGUACCACUAAAAAUAUGGCAAGACUGAUUUAAUUCCAAACCCCUCACAGGAGGAACAAGCCAACACUCACAUGUCCAGGCUGAGGAAAGUUCAGCAUGAGAUGGAGGAAGCUCAAGAGCGUGCUGACAUUGCUGAGUCCCAGGUCAACAAGCUGAGAGCCAAGAGCCGUGAUAUUGGAAAGGUAUGUUUAUUGUUAUAUCAAUGGUGCUAACACUGUAAGUCAUUACAGGCUGAGUUAAUAAGCUAAUUGACAGCUAAUGGCAUAAAUCAAUAUCACAUGCAAAAUAGUACCCAAUGCAUUUUGAAUUUCCAUUUUUAUAUGAUACUUGGAAAAGAAACCUUUAAUGAAACUACGAAACAGAUUUUUGGUUAAGAGUCUUGCUACAAUAACUACUUUUCCUUUCUAUUUUCAGUCGGAGUCUGAAUAAGGAGUCCUGAUGAGGAGUCCUCAUCAAGUUGAAGCCUUUAAACAGUUCAUAAAAUAUGAACCUGUCAUUGGGAACUGUACAGCAUUUCAAUAAAGAUGAAAAUCAUCUUUAUACUGAAUCCUGUCAAUUUUUUCUUUCUGGUAACUAUUUCACUUAAAUGCCUUGAAAAAAAUCCUAAAAGAAACAGAGCAUUUACCUUUCUCGGUAGUCUACACCAGCAGCAGCAACAUUGAUGCCACUGUGUGAAGUAAAGAUGUUUAACUGAAAUGACAAGGAA